RNAcentral lists this ribosomal RNA (253 nucleotides) under uncultured bacterium. Its description in RNAcentral is "partial 16S ribosomal RNA". It matches the Rfam family "Bacterial small subunit ribosomal RNA", at positions 524 to 776 of the family's 1533-position model. The record is from RNAcentral.
UACGUAAGGUACAAGCGUUAAUCAGAAUUACUGGGCGUAAAGCGUGCGCAAGCGGUUCUAUAAGACAGAUGUGAAAUCCCCGGACUCAACCUAGGAACUGCAUUUGUGACUGUAGAGCUGGAGUACGGUAGAAGGGGAUGGAAUUCCGCGUGUAGCAGUGAAAUGCGUAGAUAUGCGGAAGAACACCGAUGGCGAAGGCAAUCCCCUGGACCUGUACUGACGCUCAUGCACGAAAGCGUGAGGAGCAAACAGG